AUGGUUGGGUGGAACAAAGACACGUCCAUUUUUAAUCAAUAAGAGAGCCCACCAAACUUUUGGAACCUCAAAGAAUCAUCCAAAAGCUGCCCACUCCUGAUUUGCCCAGAUGAUCUGGGGCAGAGGAUAUUAACAAAUGAAUAUUUAGUGAGCCGAAAACAAACUCACAUGAAAAAUUAAGGAUGAAAUUAGUGAAAAGCGCAGAGAUAGAAACUAUUUGAUUGGGCUUCAGAAAACUUCCAGCAGGAACAGAGGUGUUUCAUCUGUAAAGGUGCUGCCCAAGACUUGUGCCGAGAUCUGGCCGGAUCAUUUGCUAUGGGAGGGCACCGACAGAGAGGAGCAGAGGAGACAAGAAGAGGAAGAGAGGGAGAGGGAAUGAAUAUUUGAUGGAACAUCCUGGGAUAGAUGAAAAAGAGCUGAACAACUAGAUAAGGUCUUAAAUUUAUGUCUUCUUUUGGCUUAAGAAAUGUCAAAAUCGAAAUGUUUUAUUUUGUGACCACUGUUUUCAAAAUGUAAUUCCAAAAUAAACUCUUAAGAAGCCUAAAUAUUUUGAAUAAAAUGAAGUUCAUGUACCUCUAAUUUAAAUGCAAAACAAUAUAAUAUUACUUGAAGGAGAAAAAUGACAUACUGGAUGAUAUUAA
RNAcentral lists this long non-coding RNA (641 nucleotides) under Homo sapiens (human). RNAcentral describes it as "HSALNT0160181". Lineage: Eukaryota; Metazoa; Chordata; Mammalia; Primates; Hominidae. The record is from RNAcentral.